UGGGGAAUUUUGGACAAUGGGGGCAACCCUGAUCCAGCCAUGCCGCGUGUGUGAAGAAGGCCUUCGGGUUGUAAAGCACUUUCGGACGGAACGAAAUCGCGCGGGUGAAUAAUCCGCGUGGAUGACGGUACCGUAGGAAGAAGCACCGGCUAACUACGUGCCAGCAGCCGCGGUAAUACGUAGGGUGCGAGCGUUAAUCGGAAUUACUGGGCGUAAAGCGUGCGCAGGCGGCGCCGCAAGUCAGGCGUGAAAUCCCCGAGCUUAACUUGGAAUGGCGCUGAAACUACGGUGCUGGAGUGUGGCAGAGGGAGGUGGAAUUCCACGUGUAGCGGUGAAAUGCGUUAGAGAUGUGGAGGAACACCGAUGGCGAAGGCAGCCUCCUGGGCCAACACUGACGCUCAUGCACGAAAGCGUGGGGAGCAAACA
RNAcentral lists this ribosomal RNA (426 nucleotides) under uncultured beta proteobacterium. RNAcentral's name for it is "bacterial SSU rRNA". It matches the Rfam family "Bacterial small subunit ribosomal RNA", at positions 355 to 774 of the family's 1533-position model. Lineage: Bacteria; Pseudomonadati; Pseudomonadota; Betaproteobacteria. The record is from RNAcentral.